GCUCGUUGUCUAGGGGUAUGAUUUUUGCUUCAGGUGCCAAAGGUCUUGGGUUCAAAUCCCGGACGAGCA
Molecule: non-coding RNA, 69 nt
Organism: Danionella cerebrum
Lineage: Eukaryota; Metazoa; Chordata; Actinopteri; Cypriniformes; Danionidae
Source: the annotation of a GenBank genome assembly